UGAUAAUUGUGAUGUUUGCUCUAUAACAUAUAUACAUGAACCUUGAGACUGUGAUAUAUAAUCAUGGACGGAGACACAUUUAGAAAGAUCCUGUCGUACUGCAUUUUAUUAUUGAAUACAAAGAAAAACAAGACACGUGUAUAAAUGCAUUGCUUCAAAACUACUCUUAGUAGCCUCAGUAAGAAGACACUUAUCCACAGCAAAAUAUUACAACCCCCUUUUUUUAAAGAAACAUAGCAUUUGAAAUAAAUACGUUUGGAUGAUAACAUCUUGCUGAUUGCAUUGGGGGCAAUGCACUUUCACACUAUUUACAGUUUAAAUCUGACUAAAUAAUCAUCACCGUCUCACAGACCCUCAGUGCUCACAGAAACUGUUGCCCUUUACAUUCAAACCUCAUCCCUUCAUCGUCACAUUCUAUUUUUAAAUGUGCUUUUGUCAAGGAACCAAAAGUGAAAACUACACAUUUUUCCCAUUACCAGAAUGUACAGUGUACUGUAUACUGUAUAAAGACAGGACAAUGUACCAGAUAUAACUUGGUGUCAAACAGAAUAUGAAUGUGACCAACAUGUCCCUCUUGAAGGUGACAUAAAGUAGACUAUACAGGUUACAUAAAGUAGACUAUACAGGUUACAUAGAGUAGACUAUACAGGUUACAUAAAGUAGACUGUACAGGUUACAUAAAGUAGACUAUACAGGUUACAUAGAGUAGACUAUACAGGUUACAUAAAGUAGACUAUACAGGUUACAUAAAGUAGACUAUACAGGUUACAUAGAGUAGACUGUACAGGUUACAUAAAGUAGACUAUACAGGUUACAUAGAUUAGAUUAUACAGGUUACAUAAAGUAGACUAUACAGGUCACAUAAAGUAGACUAUAGAGGUCACAUAAAGUAGACUAUACAGGCUACAUAAAGUAGACUAUACAGGUUACAUAGAGUAGACUAUACAGGUUACAUAGAGUAGACUAUACAGGCUACAUAAAGUAGACUAUACAGGUUACAUAAAGUAGACUAUACAGGUUACAUAGAGUAGACUAUACAGGUUACAUAAAGUAGACUAUACAGGUUACAUAGAGUAGACUAGACAGGUUACAUAAAGUAGACUAUACAGGCUACAUAAAGUAGACUAUACAGGUUACAUAGAGUAGACUAUACAGGUUACAUAAAGUAGACUAUACAGGUUACAUAAAGUAGACUAUACAGGUUACAUAAAGUAGACUGUACAGGUUACAUAAAGUAGACUAUACAGGCUACAUAGAGUAGACUAGACAGGUCACAUAAAGUAGACUAUACAGGUUAAAUAAAGUAGACUAUAGAGGUCACAUGAAGUAGACUAUAGAGGUCACAUAAAGUAGACUAUACAGGCUACAUAAAGUAGACUAUACAGGUUACAUAAAGUAGACUAUACAGGUUACAUAAAGUAGACUAUAGAGGUCACAUAAAGUAGACUAUAGAGGUCACAUAAAGUAGACUAUACAGGCUACAUAAAGUAGACUAUACAGGUUACAUAGAGUAGACUAUACAGGUUACAUAAAGUAGACUAUACAGGCUACAUAAAGUAGACUAUACAGGUUACAUAGAGUAGACUGUACAGGUUACAUAAAAUAGACUAUACAGGUUACAUAAAGUAGACUAUACAGGUUACAUAGAGUAGACUAUAGAGGUCACAUAAAGUAGACUAUACAGGUUAAAUAAAGUAGACUAUAGAGGUCACAUAAAGUAGACUAUACAGGUUACAUAAAGUAGACUAUACAGGCUACAUAAAGUAGACUAUACAGGUUACAUAGAGUAGACUGUACAGGCUACAUAAAGUAGACUAUACAGGUUACAUAGAGUAGACUAUACAGGUUACAUAAAGUAGACUAUGCAGGCUACAUAAAGUAGACUAUACAGGUUACAUAGAGUAGACUAUACAGGUUACAUAAAGUAGACUAUAGAGGUCACAUAAAGUAGACUGUACAGGUUACAUAAAAUAGACUAUACAGGCUACAUAGAUUAGAUUAUACAGGUUACAUAAAGUAGACUAUACAGGUUACAUAAAGUAGACUAUAGAGGUCACAUAAAGUAGACUGUACAGGUUACAUAGAUUAGAUUAUACAGGUUACAUAAAGUAGACUGUACAGGUUACAUAAAGUAGACUAUACAGGUUACAUAAAGUAGACUAUACAGGUUACAUAAAGUAGACUAUACAGGUUACAUAAAGUAGACUAUACAGGUUACAUAAAGUAGACUAUACAGGUUACAUAAAGUAGACUAUACAGGUUACAUAGAGUAGACUAUAGAGGUCACAUAAAGUAGACUAUACAGGCUACAUAAAGUAGACUAUACAGGUUACAUAGAGUAGACUGUACAGGUUACAUAAAGUAGACUAUACAGGUUACAUAGAGUAGACUAUACAGGUUACAUAGAGUAGACUAUACAGGUUACAUAAAGUAGACUAUACAGGUUACAUAGAGUAGACUAUACAGGUUACAUAAAGUAGACUAUACAGGUUACAUAAAGUAGACUAUACAGGUUACAUAAAGUAGACUAUACAGGUUACAUAAAGUAGACUA
Molecule: long non-coding RNA, 2553 nt
Organism: Oncorhynchus tshawytscha (Chinook salmon)
Lineage: Eukaryota; Metazoa; Chordata; Actinopteri; Salmoniformes; Salmonidae
Source: Ensembl